GACGAACGCUGGCGGCGUGCUUAACACAUGCAAGUCGAACGGAAAGGCCCUGCUUUUGUGGGGUGCUCGAGUGGCGAACGGGUGAGUAACACGUGAGUAACCUGCCCUUGACUUUGGGAUAACUUCAGGAAACUGGGGCUAAUACCGGAUAGGAGCUCCUGCUGCAUGGUGGGGGUUGGAAAGUUUCGGCGGUUGGGGAUGGACUCGCGGCUUAUCAGCUUGUUGGUGGGGUAGUGGCUUACCAAGGCUUUGACGGGUAGCCGGCCUGAGAGGGUGACCGGCCACAUUGGGACUGAGAUACGGCCCAGACUCCUACGGGAGGCAGCAGUGGGGAAUAUUGCACAAUGGGCGGAAGCCUGAUGCAGCAACGCCGCGUGCGGGAUGACGGCCUUCGGGUUGUAAACCGCUUUCGCCUGUGACGAAGCGUGAGUGACGGUAAUGGGUAAAGAAGCACCGGCUAACUACGUGCCAGCAGCCGCGGUGAUACGUAGGGUGCGAGCGUUGUCCGGAUUUAUUGGGCGUAAAGGGCUCGUAGGUGGUUGAUCGCGUCGGAAGUGUAAUCUUGGGGCUUAACCCUGAGCGUGCUUUCGAUACGGGUUGACUUGAGGAAGGUAGGGGAGAAUGGAAUUCCUGGUGGAGCGGUGGAAUGCGCAAAUAUCAGGAGGAACACCAGUGGCGAAGGCGGUUCUCUGGGCCUUUCCUGACGCUGAGGAGCGAAAGCGUGGGGAGCGAACAGGCUUAGAUACCCUGGUAGUCCACGCUGUAAACGGUGGGUACUAGGUGUGGGGUCCAUUCCACGGGUUCCGUGCCGUAGCUAACGCUUUAAGUACCCCGCCUGGGGAGUACGGCCGCAAGGCUAAAACUCAAAGGAAUUGACGGGGCCCCGCACAAGCGGCGGAGCAUGCGGAUUAAUUCGAUGCAACGCGUAGAACCUUACCUGGGUUUGACAUGGAUCGGGAGCGCUCAGAGAUGGGUGUGCCUCUUUUGGGGUCGGUUCACAGGUGGUGCAUGGCUGUCGUCAGCUCGUGUCGUGAGAUGUUGGGUUAAGUCCCGCAACGAGCGCAACCCUUGUUCACUGUUGCCAGCACGUUAUGGUGGGGACUCAGUGGAGACCGCCGGGGUCAACUCGGAGGAAGGUGGGGAUGACGUCAAGUCAUCAUGCCCCUUAUGUCCAGGGCUUCACGCAUGCUACAAUGGCUGGUACAGAGAGUGGCGAGCCUGUGAGGGUGAGCGAAUCUCGGAAAGCCGGUCUCAGUUCGGAUUGGGGUCUGCAACUCGACCUCAUGAAGUCGGAGUCGCUAGUAAUCGCAGAUCAGCAACGCUGCGGUGAAUACGUUCCCGGG
This 1343-nucleotide ribosomal RNA is filed under the name uncultured bacterium. Its description in RNAcentral is "16S ribosomal RNA". It matches the Rfam family "Bacterial small subunit ribosomal RNA", at positions 28 to 1378 of the family's 1533-position model. The record is from RNAcentral.